AUUGUCAAUCAUGAAACAUUACAACCAAUAUCUUGAGCUUCUCAUGGUCAUCCACUAAAGCUAAGCAGGACUUUGCCUGGUCAGUACCAGGAUGGGAGACCACAUGGGAAAGCUAGGUUGCUGCUAAAA
This is a ribosomal RNA of Danio rerio (zebrafish), 129 nucleotides long. The record is from Ensembl. NCBI's taxonomy places the organism in Eukaryota, Metazoa, Chordata, Actinopteri, Cypriniformes, Danionidae.